GGAGCAGUAAGCCUAAUGGUAAGGCAGCAGUUUGCUAAACUGUCAGUAAUCCGAAAGGGUGUGUGAGUUCAAGUCUCGCCUGCUCCGCCA
Molecule: transfer RNA, 90 nt
Filed under: Segatella copri
Lineage: Bacteria; Pseudomonadati; Bacteroidota; Bacteroidia; Bacteroidales; Prevotellaceae
Description: tRNA-Ser
Rfam family: tRNA
About the family: Transfer RNA (tRNA) molecules are approximately 80 nucleotides in length. Their secondary structure includes four short double-helical elements and three loops (D, anti-codon, and T loops). Further hydrogen bonds mediate the characteristic L-shaped molecular structure. tRNAs have two regions of fundamental functional importance: the anti-codon, which is responsible for specific mRNA codon recognition, and the 3' end, to which the tRNAs corresponding amino acid is attached (by aminoacyl-tRNA synthetases). tRNAs cope with the degeneracy of the genetic code in two manners: having more than one tRNA (with a specific anti-codon) for a particular amino acid; and 'wobble' base-pairing, i.e. permitting non-standard base-pairing at the 3rd anti-codon position.
Source: RNAcentral